RNAcentral lists this ribosomal RNA (253 nucleotides) under uncultured bacterium. Its description in RNAcentral is "partial 16S ribosomal RNA". It matches the Rfam family "Bacterial small subunit ribosomal RNA", at positions 524 to 776 of the family's 1533-position model. The record is from RNAcentral.
UACGUAGGGGGCAAGCGUUGUCCGGAUUUAUUGGGCGUAAAGAGCGUGUAGGCGGCUUGGUAGGUCCGCUGUGAAAACUCGAGGCUCAACCUCGAGAUGUCGGCGGAAACCACUUGGCUAGAGUCCGGAAGAGGAGAGUGGAAUUCCCGGUGUAGCGGUGAAAUGCGUAGAUAUCUGGAGGAACACCGGUGGCGAAGGCGGCAUCCUGGACCGGUAUUGACGCUGAGGCGCGAAAGCCAGGGGAGCAAACGGG